GUAUAGCCCCGAUGGAAGCGGCAUCUUUUAUGAGUUCUCGAUACAUUUUGUUUCGUCACUUCGAGUUUUCGCAAGAAAGUAUCGAGAAGCGAAACAAAAAACUCAAACUGACGAAUAAAAAUACAGCGGACAGCGGGACAAUUA
This 144-nucleotide small RNA is filed under the name Flavobacterium haoranii. RNAcentral's name for it is "Flavobacterium sp. LQY-7 Flavo-1 RNA". It matches the Rfam family "Flavo-1 RNA". Lineage: Bacteria; Pseudomonadati; Bacteroidota; Flavobacteriia; Flavobacteriales; Flavobacteriaceae. The record is from Rfam by way of RNAcentral.